This 202-nucleotide ribosomal RNA is filed under the name uncultured bacterium. Its description in RNAcentral is "partial 16S ribosomal RNA". It matches the Rfam family "Bacterial small subunit ribosomal RNA", at positions 1300 to 1500 of the family's 1533-position model. The record is from RNAcentral.
GCAGGCUGCAACCCGCCUGCAUGAAGUCGGAAUCGCUAGUAAUCGCAAGUCAGCAUAUUGCGGUGAAUACGUUCCCGGGUCUUGUACACACCGCCCGUCACACCAUGGGAGUUGGCAACACCCGAAGUCGAUGAGCUAACCUUUUAGGAGGCAGUCGCCUAAGGUGGGGUUGAUAACUGGGGUGAAGUCGUAACAAGGUAAC